This is a ribosomal RNA of Mesocricetus auratus (golden hamster), 115 nucleotides long. The record is from Ensembl. NCBI's taxonomy places the organism in Eukaryota, Metazoa, Chordata, Mammalia, Rodentia, Cricetidae.
AUCUACGGCCAUACCACUCUGAAUGCACCCCAUCUGGUCUGAUCUCAGAAGCUAAGGAGGAUUGGACCUGGUUAGUACUUGGAUGGGAGAAAUGACUACCAGGUUGCUGGAUAUA